This 1491-nucleotide ribosomal RNA is filed under the name metagenome. RNAcentral's name for it is "bacterial SSU rRNA". It matches the Rfam family "Bacterial small subunit ribosomal RNA". The record is from RNAcentral.
AGAGUUUGAUCCUGGCUCAGAUUGAACGCUGGCGGCAUGCUUUACACAUGCAAGUCGAACGGUAACGCGGGGGCAACCCUGGCGACGAGUGGCGAACGGGUGAGUAAUACAUCGGAACAUAUCCAGUAGCGGGGGAUAACCUAUCGAAAGAUGGACUAAUACCGCAUACGAUCUACGGAUGAAAGCAGGGGACCGCAAGGCCUUGCACUAUUGGAGUGGCCGAUGUCGGAUUAGCUAGUCGGUGAGGUAAAGGCUUACCAAGGCGACGAUCCGUAGCUGGUCUGAGAGGACGAUCAGCCACACUGGAACUGAGACACGGUCCAGACUCCUACGGGAGGCAGCAGUGGGGAAUUUUGGACAAUGGGCGCAAGCCUGAUCAGCCAUGCCGCGUGAGUGAAGAAGGCCUUCGGGUUGUAAAGCUCUUUCGGUGAAGACGAAACGGUUCGUGCUAAUAACGCGGACUAAUGACGGUACUCACAGAAGAAGCACCGGCUAACUACGUGCCAGCAGCCGCGUUAAUACGUAGGGUGCAGGCGUUAAUCGGAAUUACUGGGCGUAAAGCGUGCGCAGGCGGUUUGCUAAGACAGGUGUGAAAUCCCCGGGCUUAACCUGGGAAUUGCGCUUGUAACUGGCAAGCUAGAGUGCAGCAGAGGGGGGUGGAAUUCCACGUGUAGCAGUGAAAUGCGUAGAUAUGUGGAGGAACACCGAUGGCGAAGGCAGCCCCCUGGGUUAACACUGACGCUCAUGCACGAAAGCGUGGGGAGCAAACAGGAUUAGAUACCCUGGUAGUCCACGCCCUAAACUAUGUCAACUAGUUGUCGGGGAAGAAACUCCUUGGUAACGAAGCUAACGCGUGAAGUUGACCGCCUGGGGAGUACGGCCGCAAGGUUAAAACUCAAAGGAAUUGACGGGGACCCGCACAAGCGGUGGAUUAUGUGGAUUAAUUCGAUGCAACGCGAAAAACCUUACCUACCCUUGACAUGCUAGGAAGCCCGCAGAGAUGUGGGUGUGCCCGAAAGGGAACCUAGACACAGGUGCUGCAUGGCUGUCGUCAGCUCUGUCGUGAGAUGUUGGGUUAAGUCCCGCAACGAGCGCAACCCUUGCCAUUAGUUGCUACAUUCAGUUGGGCACUCUAAUGGGACCGCCGGUGACAAACCGGAGGAAGGUGGGGAUGACGUCAAGUCCUCAUGGCCCUUAUGGGUAGGGCUUCACACGUAAUACAAUGGUCGGUACAGAGGGCUGCCAACCCGCAAGGGGGAGCUAAUCCCAGAAAGCCGAUCGUAGUCCGGAUUGUAGUCUGCAACUCGACUGCAUGAAGCCGGAAUCGCUAGUAAUCGCGGAUCAGCAUGUCGCGGUGAAUACGUUCCCGGGUCUUGUACACACCGCCCGUCACACCAUGGGAGUGGGUUCCACCAGAAGUAGUUAGCCUAACCGCAAGGAGGGCGAUUACCACGGUGAGAUUCAUGACUGGGGUGAAGUCGUAACAAGGUA